UACGGAGGGUGCAAGCGUUAAUCGGAAUUACUGGGCGUAAAGCGCACGCAGGCGGUCUGUCAAGUCGGAUGUGAAAUCCCCGGGCUCAACCUGGGAACUGUGUGGCUUGAGUGCAGAAGAGGAGAGUGGAAUUCCACGUGUAGCGGUGAAAUGCGUAGAGAUGUGGAGGAACACCAGUGGCGAAGGCGACUCUUUGGCCUAUAACUGACGCUGAGGCGCGAAAGCGUGGGGAGCAAACAGG
Molecule: unclassified non-coding RNA, 241 nt
Filed under: uncultured Enterobacteriaceae bacterium
Lineage: Bacteria; Pseudomonadati; Pseudomonadota; Gammaproteobacteria; Enterobacterales; Enterobacteriaceae
Description: contains 16S-23S intergenic spacer region
Rfam family: Bacterial small subunit ribosomal RNA
Source: RNAcentral